GACGAACGCUGGCGGCGUGCUUAACACAUGCAAGUCGAACGGAAAGGCCCUGCUUUUGUUGGGUGCUCGAGUGGCGAACGGGUGAGUAACACGUGAGUAACCUGCCCUUGACUUUGGGAUAACUUCAGGAAACUGGGGCUAAUACCGGAUAGGAGCUCCUGCUGCAUGGUGGGGGUUGGAAAGUUUCGGCGGUUGGGGAUGGACUCGAGGCUUAUCAGCUUGUUGGUGGGGUAGUGGCUUACCAAGGCUUUGACGGGUAGCCGGCCUGAGAGGGUGACCGGCCACAUUGGGCCUGAGAUACGGACCAGACUCCUAUGGGAGGCAGCAGUGGGGAAUAUUGCACAAUGGGCGGACGCCUGAUGCAGCAACGCCGCGUGCGGGAUGACGGCCUUCGGGUUGUAAACAGCUUUCGCAUGUGACGAAGAGUGAGUGACGGUAAUGGGUAAAGAAGCACCGGCUAACUACGUG
Molecule: ribosomal RNA, 468 nt
Filed under: uncultured bacterium
Lineage: Bacteria
Description: partial 16S ribosomal RNA
Rfam family: Bacterial small subunit ribosomal RNA
Source: RNAcentral